RNAcentral lists this ribosomal RNA (590 nucleotides) under uncultured bacterium. RNAcentral describes it as "bacterial SSU rRNA". It matches the Rfam family "Bacterial small subunit ribosomal RNA", at positions 70 to 675 of the family's 1533-position model. The record is from RNAcentral.
CAAGCUCCCUUCGGGGAGUGGCGGAUGGCGGACGGGUGAGUAACGCGUAAGGAACUUGCCUUUUGGACUGGGACAACUGUUGGAAACGACAGCUAAUACCGGAUAUUAUGAGAUCUUCGCAUGGAGAACCUAUGAAAGCUAUAUGCGCCAAAAGAGAGCCUUGCGUUCCAUUAGCUAGUUGGUGGGGUAACGGCCCACCAAGGCGACGAUGGAUAGCCGGCCUGAGAGGGUGAACGGCCACAAGGGGACUGAGACACGGCCCUUACUCCUACGGGAGGCAGCAGUGGGGAAUAUUGGACAAUGGGCCACAAGCCUGAUCCAGCAAUUCUGUGUGCACGAUGACGGUCUUCGGAUUGUAAAGUGCUUUCAGUUGGGAAGAAGCAAGUGACGGUACCAACAGAAGAAGCGACGGCUAAAUACGUGCCAGCAGCCGCGGUAAUACGUAUGUCGCAAGCGUUAUCCGGAUUUAUUGGGCGUAAAGCGCGUCUAGGCGGGAAAGAAAGUCUGAUGUGAAAAUGCGGGGCUCAACUCCGUAUUGCGUUGGAAACUACUUUUCUAGAGUAUCAGAGAGGUGGGCGGAACUACAAGUG